This is a long non-coding RNA of Mercurialis annua (annual mercury), 538 nucleotides long. RefSeq lists it as uncharacterized. The record is from RefSeq and is a predicted model, not a curated record. The transcript has 3 exons. NCBI's taxonomy places the organism in Eukaryota, Viridiplantae, Streptophyta, Magnoliopsida, Malpighiales, Euphorbiaceae.
GUGUUCUAUCCUAAAACAGUCUAAUUAGAAUUGUUUUCAAUUUUAACUUUUCACCUUUUUCGUUUGUGUAUGUAUUAUAUAAAGGUUGUUCCUUCCCUCAGCAAGCUGCUUCUAUUCCAUUGAGCAAAGAUAUGCACCGAUUGGCUUCACCAUUCUUGGAGAAUAGACUUGCUGAGGGAGCUGAAGUGGAAAUGGAAGUAAUUCCAAUGAAUGAUAACAAUCAUGAGCUGUCAAACUCAUUUAAGGUUGCGUCACCUUUGGUUGUGGAUGAAACUCUGCUGGAGAAAGUACUAGGGAUGGGCAUAUGUAGGCGGUUUUGGACCACGUAAAACUUUCCCUGAAUCUGUUAUCCUAUGCUAUGAGUCGGCCUAAGAAGUUAAGAACUCAUAGUUGCAAUAUGGAUUAUAUCUUCUGCUUCUGUCCUUGAUGUGGUGAAGUUUGAAGUUCAGCUUUACAGAACUCGGGAGGAGAAAUACUUGCUCGAUUUUCAUGCGCUUUCAAGAAUUGUUUAAUGGCAGUAAAUUUCAUCUCAUGAAGU